UACGUAGGCAGCGAGCGUUGUUCGGAGUUACUGGGCGUAAAGAGUGUGUAGGCGGUGUCGUAAGUUCGGUGUGAAAUCUCCCGGCUUAACUGGGAGGGUGCGCCGGAUACUGCGAGACUCGAGUACGGGAGAGGGAAGCGGAAUUCCUGGUGUAGCGGUGAAAUGCGUAGAUAUCAGGAGGAACACCUGCGGUGUAGACGGCUUCCUGGACCGUUACUGACGCUGAGACACGAAAGCGUGGGGAGCAAACAGG
Molecule: ribosomal RNA, 253 nt
Filed under: uncultured bacterium
Lineage: Bacteria
Description: partial 16S ribosomal RNA
Rfam family: Bacterial small subunit ribosomal RNA
Source: RNAcentral